Molecule: ribosomal RNA, 274 nt
Filed under: uncultured Enterobacteriaceae bacterium
Lineage: Bacteria; Pseudomonadati; Pseudomonadota; Gammaproteobacteria; Enterobacterales; Enterobacteriaceae
Description: partial 16S ribosomal RNA
Rfam family: Bacterial small subunit ribosomal RNA
Source: RNAcentral
UGGGGAAUAUUGCACAAUGGGCGCAAGCCUGAUGCAGCCAUGCCGCGUGUAUGAAGAAGGCCUUCGGGUUGUAAAGUACUUUCAGCGAGAGGAAGGUGUUGUGGUUAAUAACCGCAGCAAUUGACGUUACUCGCAGAAGAAGCACCGGCUAACUCCGGUGCCACAGCCGCGGUAAUACGGAGGGUGCAAGCGUUAAUCGGAAUUACUGGGCGUAAAGCGCACGCAGGCGGUCUGUCAAGUCGGAUGUGAAAUCCCCGGGCUCAACCUGGGAACU